This 279-nucleotide ribosomal RNA is filed under the name uncultured bacterium. Its description in RNAcentral is "partial 16S ribosomal RNA". It matches the Rfam family "Bacterial small subunit ribosomal RNA", at positions 76 to 353 of the family's 1533-position model. The record is from RNAcentral.
CUUGCUAAGUUUGAUGGCGACCGGCGCACGGGUGAGUAACACGUAUCCAACCUGCCGAUGACUCGGGGAUAGCCUUUCGAAAGAAAGAUUAAUACCCGAUGGCAUAGUUCUUCCGCAUGGUAGAACUAUUAAAGAAUUUCGGUCAUCGAUGGGGAUGCGUUCCAUUAGGUUGUUGGCGGGGUAACGGCCCACCAAGCCUUCGAUGGAUAGGGGUUCUGAGGGGAAGGUCCCCCACAUUGGAACUGAGACACGGUCCAAACUCCUACGGGAGGCAGCAUG